Molecule: long non-coding RNA, 3217 nt
Filed under: Salmo salar (Atlantic salmon)
Lineage: Eukaryota; Metazoa; Chordata; Actinopteri; Salmoniformes; Salmonidae
Description: lncRNA (ENSSSAG00000102793.1)
Source: RNAcentral
GGGGGUUGUGAGGGGGUUGUCAGGGUAGCUGUCAGGGAGGGGGUUCUCUAAUGGUUUGUGUUUACAUCCAAGGGGUACUGUAUUGUAAUCACCUCUGUUCAGGGCCCUCUAAGGCCUCUACAUUUGGGUUUGAUAGGCUGUCAAACUCUCCUGCCAUUGUUGGGCUGAAGGGCUUUGACACCUCUCACUUCACACCUCAGUGCUAAUUGAAGUCGCAGUCAGAUCUGUUCUGUCAUAGCAAGCUGGGUAGCCUGAACUUAGCAUUCAGUCCUUAUCAAGUGAAAUAUAUCAUAGUCAUGUAUUUUUCUUCUUGGCUUUAAAAGUAGCUUCAGACUGAACAUGACUCACUCAGUUCCAGGUUGGAUGGUGUUUUCAGGUUCCAGGUUGGAUGGUGUUUCCAGGUUCCAGGUUGGAUGGUGUUUCCAGGUUCCAGGUUGGAUGGUGUUUCCAGGUUCCAGGUUGGAUGGUGUUUCCAGGUUCCAGGUUGGGUGGUGUUUUCAGGUUCCAGGUUGGGUGGUGUUUCCAGGUUGGGUGGUGUUUCCAGGUUCCAGGUUGGGUAGUGGUUCCAGGUUGGAUGGUGUUUCCAGGUUGGGUGGUGUUUCCAGGUUCCAGGUUGGGUAGUGGUUCCAGGAUGGAUGGUGUUUCCAGGUUCCAGGUUGGAUGGUGUUUCCAGGUUCCAGGUUGGAUGGUGUUUCCAGGUUAGAUGGUGUUUCCAGGUUCCAGGUUGGGUAGUGUUUCCAGGUUGGAUGGUGUUUCCAGGUUCCAGGUUGGAUGGUGUUUCCAGGUUCCAGGUUGCAUGGUGUUUUCAGGUUCCAGGUUGGAUGGUGUUUUCAGGUUCCAGGUUGGAUGGUGUUUCCAGGUUCCAGGUUGGAUGGUGUUUCCAGGUUCCUGGUUGGAUGGUGUUUCCAGGUUCCAGGUUGGAUGGUGGUUCCAGGUUCCAGGUUGGGUGGUGGUUCCAGGUUCCAGGUUGGGUGGUGUUUCCAGGUUGGAUGGUGUUUCCAGGUUCCAGGUUGGAUGGUGUUUCCAGGUUCCAGGUUGGAUGGUGUUUCCAGGUUCCAGGUUGGAUGGUGGUUCCAGGUUCCAGGUUGGGUGGUGUUUCCAGGUUCCAGGUUGGGUGGUGGUUCCAGGUUGGAUGGUGUUUCCAGGUUGGAUGGUGUUUCCAGGUUCCAGGUUGGAUGGUGUUUCCAGGUUCCUGGUUGGAUGGUGUUUCCAGGUUCCAGGUUGGAUGGUGGUUCCAGGUUCCAGGUUGGAUGGUGUUUUCAGGUUCCAGGUUAGAUGGUGUUUCCAGGUUCCAGGUUGGGUGGUGUUUCCAGGUUCCAGGUUGGGUGGUGUUUUCAGGUUCCAGGUUGGGUGGUGUUUCCAGGUUCCAGGUUGGGUGGUGGUUCCAGGUUGGGUGGUGGUUCCAGGUUCCAGGUUGGAUGGUGUUUCCAGGUUCCAGGUUGGGUGGUGUUUCCAGGUUCCAGGUUGGGUGGUGUUUUCAGGUUCCAGGUUGGGUGGUGUUUUCAGGUUCCAGGUUGGGUGGUGUUUUCAGGUUCCAGUUUAGGUGGUGUUUUCACGUUCCAGGUUCGGGGGAUGUUUCCAGGUUCCAGGUUGGGUGGUGGUUCCAGGUUCCAGGUUGGAUGGUGUUUCCAGGUUGGAUGGUGUUUUCAGGUUCCAGGUUGGAUGGUGUUUCCAGGUUGGAUGGUGUUUCCAGGUUCCAGGUUGGAUGGUGUUUUCAGGUUCCAGGUUGGAUGGUGUUUCCAGGUUCCAGGUUGGAUGGUGUUUCCAGGUUCCAGGUUGGGUGGUGUUUCCAGGUUCCAGGUUGGGUGGUGGUUCCAGGUUGGAUGGUGGUUCCAGGUUGGAUGGUGGUUCCAGGUUCCAGGUUGGGUGGUGUUUCCAGGUUCCAGGUUGGAUGGUGUUUCCAGGUUGGGUGGUGUUUUCAGGUUCCAGGUUGGGUGGUGUUUCCAGGUUCCAGGUUGGAUGGUGUUUCCAGGUUGGGUGGUGUUUUCAGGUUCCAGGUUGGAUGGUGUUUCCAGGUUGGGUGGUGUUUUCAGGUUCCAGGUUGGAUGGUGUUUCCAGGUUCCAGGUUGGAUGGUGUUUCCAGGUUCCAGGUUGGAUGGUGUUUUCAGGUUCCAGGUUGGAUGGUGUUUCCAGGUUGGGUGGUGUUUUCAGGUUCCAGGUAGGAUGGUGUUUCCAGGUUCCAGGUUGGAUGGUGUUUCCAGGUUCCAGGUUGGGUGGUGUUUCCAGGUUCCUGGUUGGAUGGUGUUUCCAGGUUCCAGGUUGGAUGGUGUUUCCAGGUUCCAGGUUGGAUGGUGUUUCCAGGUUCCAGGUUGGAUGGUGUUUCCAGGUUCCAGGUUGGGUGGUGUUUCCAGGUUCCAGGUUGGAUGGUGUUUCCAGGUUGGGUGGUGGUUCCAGGUUCCAGGUUGGAUGGUGUUUCCAGGUUCCAGGUUGGGUGGUGUUUCCAGGUUGGAUGGUGUUUCCAGGUUCCUGGUUGGAUGGUGUUUCCAGGUUCCAGGUUGGAUGGUGUUUCCAGGUUCCAGGUUGGAUGGUGGUUCCAGGUUCCAGGUUGGAUGGUGUUUCCAGGUUCCAGGUUGGGUGGUGUUUUCAGGUUCCAGGUUGGGUGGUGUUUCCAGGUUCCAGGUUGGGUGGUGUUUCCAGGAUCCAGGUUGGAUGGUGUUUUCAGGUUCCAGGUUGGGUGGUGUUUCCAGGUUCCAGGUUGGGUGGUGUUUCCAGGUUCCAGGUAGGAUGGUGUUUCCAGGUUCCAGGUUGGAUGGUGUUUCCAGGUUGGGUGGUGUUUCCAGGUUCCAGGUAGGAUGGUGUUUUCAGGUUCCAGGUUGGAUGAUGUUUUCAGGUUCCAGGUUGGAUGGUGUUUCCAGGUUGGGUGGUGGUUCCAGGUUCCAGGUAGGAUGGUGUUUCCAGGUUCCAGGUUGGGUAGUGGUUCCAGGUUGGAUGGUGUUUCCAGGUUGGGUGGUGUUUCCAGGUUCCAGGUUGGGUGGUGUUUCCAGGUUCCAGGUUGGGUGGUGUUUCCAGGUUCCAGGUUGGGUGGUGGUUCCAGGUUGGGUGGUGUUUCCAGGUUCCAGGUUGGGUGGUGGUUCCAGGUUGGAUGGUGUUUCUAGGUUCCAGGUUGGGUGGUGGUUCCAGGUUCCAGGUUGGGUGGUGGUUCCAGGUUGGAUGGUGUUUCCAGGUUCCAGGUUGGGUGGUGUUUCCAGGUUCCAGGUUGGAUGGUGUUUUCAGGUUG